CCUACGGGAGGCAGCAGUAGGGAAUUUUCGUCAAUGGACGCAAGCCUGAACGAGCAAUGCCGCGUGAACGAGGAAGGUCUUCGGAUCGUAAAGUUCUGUUGAAUGGGAAAAAGAGCGGAGAGAGGAAAUGGUCUCCGAUUGAUAUUACCCUUCGAGGAAGUCACGGCUAACUACGUGCCAGCAGCCGCGGUAAUACGUAGGUGGCGAGCGUUAUCCGGAAUGAUUGGGCGUAAAGGGUGCGUAGGCGGCCUGCUAAGUCUGGAGUGAAAGGUACCGGCUCAACCGGUACAGGCUCUGGAAACUGGCGGGCUAGAGAGCAGGAGAGGGCGGUGGAACUCCAUGUGUAGCGGUAAAAUGCGUAGAUAUAUGGAAGAACACCAGUGGCGAAGGCGGCCGCCUGGCCUGUUACUGACGCUGAGGCACGAAAGCGUGGGGAGCAAAUAGGAUUAGAUACCCGGGUAGUC
Molecule: ribosomal RNA, 464 nt
Filed under: uncultured bacterium
Lineage: Bacteria
Description: partial 16S ribosomal RNA
Rfam family: Bacterial small subunit ribosomal RNA
Source: RNAcentral